This 76-nucleotide transfer RNA is filed under the name Escherichia coli. RNAcentral describes it as "tRNA-Val". It matches the Rfam family "tRNA". From Rfam's summary of the family: Transfer RNA (tRNA) molecules are approximately 80 nucleotides in length. The record is from RNAcentral. Lineage: Bacteria; Pseudomonadati; Pseudomonadota; Gammaproteobacteria; Enterobacterales; Enterobacteriaceae. RNAcentral also lists the same sequence under 1 other name.
GGGUGAUUAGCUCAGCUGGGAGAGCACCUCCCUUACGAGGAGGGGGUCGGCGGUUCGAUCCCGUCAUCACCCACCA